AAGACGGACAAUCAAACGUUGGAC
Molecule: microRNA, 24 nt
Filed under: Oryza sativa (Asian cultivated rice)
Lineage: Eukaryota; Viridiplantae; Streptophyta; Magnoliopsida; Poales; Poaceae
Description: osa-miR812s
Gene: osa-miR812s
Source: miRBase by way of RNAcentral